Molecule: non-coding RNA, 952 nt
Filed under: Stegodyphus mimosarum
Lineage: Eukaryota; Metazoa; Arthropoda; Arachnida; Araneae; Eresidae
Description: Eukaryotic small subunit ribosomal RNA
Rfam family: Eukaryotic small subunit ribosomal RNA
Source: Rfam by way of RNAcentral
AACGGUUAUCAAUAAUACAUAUGUUCUAAUAUAAAUGUUUUGUCAUUGGCAGAUUAAUAAAAGGCUUUUUGCGCUACAAUGUAUAUAAUUUCUUUCUAACGUUCGUAAUUAUAAAUGAUUGCCUUCAUACGAAAAUAAAACUUCACGUAUUAAUGAAAAAGCAUUCUGUAGAAGCUUUUAGUAGACAAAAACCAAUCGGAACUCUUGUCUGUAGUGUGCGGUGACACUAUAUAAUUUUGGGCGCAUUCCGAGGACAUAUUUUUAAGUGUUUUCGUUAGCAACUAUCUACGAUAGGACACGCGCAUACCAUGGUUGUAACGGGUGACGGGGAAUCAGGGUUCGAUUCCGGAGAGAGAACCUUAGAAACGGCUAGCACAUUAAAGAAAGGCAGCAGGCGUGAUAUUAUCCACUCCCAGAAACAGGGAGCUAGUAAUGAAAAAUAACAAUACGGACUCUUUUGUGAUGCCAUAAGUGGAAUGCGUACCGUCUAAAUCUUUAACAAGGAUUAAUUGGAGAGCAGGUCUGGUGCCAGCAGUAGCUAUAAUUCCAGUUUCAAUAGCGUAUAUUAAAAGUUGCUGCGGUUAAAACGCUCGUAGUUGCAUCUCUGUUCCAGAAGGGUGGUCCACUUAUCCAUUACUGUUUGUUCCGAACAGCCAGCCAGAUUCCUUUGACCAUCUUCACUGGUUGAGUUAGAUAAGCGGCAAGUUUAUUUUGAAAAGCUUAGAGUGUUUAAAGCAGCCGUGACGCCUGCAUGAUGAUGCAGGAAAUACUGGAAUAAGGACUCAGUCUUCCGAAUACGGAGUUAUGAUUAAGAGGUAUAGAUGGAGGUAUUCGCAUUAUCACGCUACAGAUGAAAUUUCUGCACCUUUGCAAAACGAAUUACUGCAAUUGCUAUUAACUAUAUGCCUCAGUCUUUGCUUAUUCAAGUACCAAUUUUAAUAAAAGAUUGAUA